CAGUGUCAGCUGAAAAUGUCCACUGAGCAGACUUCUUGGACAAGCUUGUCCACUAUUCAGAAGAUAGCCCUGGGCCUCGGCAUCCCAGCCAGUGCAGCAGUUGCCUAUAUCCUAUACCGUAGGUAUAGAGAAAGCAGAGAAGAACGGCUGACGUUUGUUGGAGAGGAUGACAUUGAGAUAGAGAUGCGGGUUCCCCAGGAGGCUGUGAAGCUCAUUAUUGGACGGCAAGGAGCCAACAUUAAACAAUUGCGGAAACAGACAGGUGCUCGGAUUGAUGUGGACACAGAGGAUGUAGGCGAUGAGCGAGUGCUGCUUAUCAGUGGUUUUCCUGUUCAGGUGUGCAAGGCCAAAGCAGCCAUCCAUCAGAUCCUGACAGAGAAUACCCCUGUGUCUGAGCAGCUCUCAGUUCCCCAGAGAUCCGUGGGCAGAAUCAUAGGGAGAGGCGGCGAGACAAUUCGUUCUAUCUGUAAGGCCUCAGGAGCAAAAAUUACCUGUGACAAAGAAUCUGAGGGGACAUUACUACUAUCAAGACUUAUAAAAAUCUCAGGAACACAAAAGGAAGUGGCAGCAGCUAAGCAUUUGAUACUGGAGAAAGUUUCAGAGGAUGAAGAACUUCGAAAGAGAAUUGCCCAUUCUGCAGAAACCAGAGUCCCACGCAAGCAGCCAAUCAGUGUGAGAAGAGAAGAAAUGACAGAGGCAGGAGGAGCUGGAGAACCAGCUUCAUGGAAAAACACCAGUUCUAGCAUGGGGCAGACUGCACCUUUGGAGAUUCCUCCCCACAAAGGAGGUGGUGACAUGGCUGUUCUAGGACCCAAAGAAGGUUCCUGGGAAAAACCUAAUGAUGACAGCUUUCAGAAACCUGGAGCCCAAACCAGUCCAGAGAUGUCCAUGUUUGAAAUCCCCAGUCCUGACUUCAGUUUCCAUGCUGAUGAGUACCUAGAAGUCUACGUUUCUGCCUCUGAACACCCUAACCACUUCUGGAUCCAAAUCAUUGGCUCACGUAGCCUGCAAUUGGAUAAGCUUGUCAAUGAGAUGACCCAGCAUUAUGAGAAUAGCCUGCCUGAAGACUUGACUGUGCAUGUAGGAGAUAUUGUAGCUGCACCUUUAUCCGCAAAUGAUUCCUGGUAUCGAGCCCGGGUCCUUGGCACGUUGGAGAAUGGAAAUUUAGACCUCUACUUUGUUGACUUUGGAGAUAAUGGAGAUUGCCCACUGAAGGAGCUCAGGGCUCUCAGGAGUGACUUUCUAAGCCUUCCAUUUCAAGCAAUUGAAUGUAGUCUGGCACGGAUUGCCCCCUCAGGUGUACAAUGGGAGGAGGAAGCUUUAGAUGAAUUUGACAGACUAACUUACUGUGCUGAAUGGAAGCCCCUGGUGGCCAAGAUCUCUAGCUACGUCCAGACUGGGAUCUCAACUUGGCCAAAGAUCUACUUAUAUGAUAUCAGCAAUGGGAAGAAACUUGAUAUUGGGCUAGAAUUAGUUCGUAAAGGAUAUGCAAUUGAGCUUCCUGAAGACAUGGAAGAAAACAGAACUGUCCCGGACAUGUUGAAGGACAUGGCCACAGAAACAGAUGUCUCUCUUGCCAGCAUGCUUAGUGAGACCAGAGAGAGCCCGGAAGAGCUACCACAUACCCUGUCCUGCCUCAGCUUAUCAGAAGCUGCCUCUAUGUCUGGUGAUGAUAACCUUAAAGAUGACUACUUACUCUGAAGUCCGUGCUUCAGCUGGAGAGCCAUCUGCUUUGCAAUGAUUUGGUGCCAGGAGAGAGGAAUCUCCAAUAGAGAUCCAUGCAGUCCUUCCUUUGUUACACAGAGUCUGGCUUGGACCAAAUUUAUUUUCUCCUCCCAUUGGACUACCAGAAAGUGUGUGGGGAAGAGGGAGACAAAAACAUCCUCCCUACACUUUACUCCCAACCCCCACCCUGCUGCUGUUAUUUUCAAGGGUCUGAGUCAAGCUAGGUCCCCUCUGCCAGUCAUAAUGUGUAUUAUUGUGGGGCUGUGUCUUUCAAGGCUGGGAAACAGCCAGAGUUUGGGCACUGAAAUGAUGAUUCUGAAGACUGUGACUCACCCUAUCAGGUGACUCUUGUUACAGGAAGUGUUAUGAGUAGUGUUUGAGUCGAAAAGCAAAGGCAAAAAUCAGCAAAAAUGUUGAGCUGCAGGACGUGGAAAGAAUACCACCUCCCAGCCACAAUUUCAGAUAGGUUAUUGGAGACAAGUGUGUGUGUACAUGUACAAACUUUAAUUAAAAUGUAAGUAAAAAAGAGACAGCUCAGGAAAUGCUGUAAAUUGCUAGUAAAGUUUCAAAUCAUUUGGGGGACUGAAUAAAAAUCUCAAAAAUAUUUAAACUAAGUACUCAUUGGCCACCUAAACCUAAAUCUCGUGAGAAUUAUCAACAAGUGUCUUUCCAUACACACAUUUACUUUCUUCCCCCAGAGUCACUUCCAAAUCAGCCAACUCAAGGUUAGGCUAUUUA
Molecule: RNA transcript, 2463 nt
Organism: Dipodomys spectabilis (banner-tailed kangaroo rat)
Lineage: Eukaryota; Metazoa; Chordata; Mammalia; Rodentia; Heteromyidae
Gene: Tdrkh
Gene name: tudor and KH domain containing
Exons: 15
Source: RefSeq, a predicted model, not a curated record